UCUAGACUAGUCACCACUGAAUAACUGUGGAGCGACUGGUAGUGUUAUAGUUUGGUAGUGUCAUUACAAUGCGACUUGGAGGGCAAUGACCAUGAUGGUGUCAUACGAAACAGCACUCAGCUGCAAAUGUUAGAAUCAGAUGUUAUGGCUUACUGAAGACAGUUUUUACAGUUGGGUGCAGUAGUUCUGUUGAAGUUUGGCAGACAUAUCUAAUAAAAUAGGAAGUUAAUUACACUGAAGGAUGCUUGCAUUUUGGUCAGAGCUCAGCCUGACGGUUGCCUCUAGCACACCUCCGGAAAAACAGAGAGAGCUGAUAAAUCACCUUCAGGAACAGUCAGAUCUUGAAUUCCGACAAGGCUCACCAUACCUGUCUCCUGUGGAAUGUGAUCCAGAAAUCUGUUAAGCAACAAAUGCUCGAAUGUUUAUCAAAUGCUGAGAAUUCUCUAGAAGGUAGUUAAGAAAAAAAAUGAAAAAGUCCCUGAAGGACUGUGUCCAGCAAAACAGCUUGCUAUUCUUCUGAAUUCUAAUGUGUGUGAGAGAAAUAAACUUUGUUUUGAAGGCACUA
Long non-coding RNA from Chinchilla lanigera (long-tailed chinchilla), 565 nucleotides. RefSeq lists it as uncharacterized. The record is from RefSeq and is a predicted model, not a curated record. The transcript is spliced from 2 exons. Lineage: Eukaryota; Metazoa; Chordata; Mammalia; Rodentia; Chinchillidae.